AAAUUUUAUUAAUUUGAUUUGCCGUAUACAUGGCUUAAGCAGGGGCAUACCCCCACUGUACAUGAAUUUUAUAAGAUUAAAUACUCAAUGGCAGUCGGUUGAAGUUUUGAUGCACAACUUCGCAGUCGUUUAGAUUGGGUUUAGUUUAACGACUUUCCGGUCGUUUGAAGUUGAGUUUAGUUUAGCGACAUUUCGGUCGUUUGAAUUGGUUUUGGGUUGAACCGUUAUGCUUUGGUUCGGGACCCAUCCAGACUUGGUUUAGGUUGGGUC
This 270-nucleotide long non-coding RNA is filed under the name Ananas comosus (pineapple). RNAcentral describes it as "long non-coding RNA (ACOM_LNC034879)". Lineage: Eukaryota; Viridiplantae; Streptophyta; Magnoliopsida; Poales; Bromeliaceae. The record is from RNAcentral.